This 497-nucleotide ribosomal RNA is filed under the name uncultured bacterium. Its description in RNAcentral is "partial 16S ribosomal RNA". It matches the Rfam family "Bacterial small subunit ribosomal RNA", at positions 28 to 507 of the family's 1533-position model. The record is from RNAcentral.
GAUGAACGCUGGCGGCGUGCCUAAUACAUGCAAGUCGAGCGAACGGACCAGAAGCUUGCUUCUCUGAUGUUGGCGGCGGACGGGUUCGUCACACGUGGAUAACCUACCUAUAAGACUGGGAUACCUACGCGAAACCGGAGCUAAUACCGCAUAAUAUUUUGAACCGCAUGGUUCAACAGUGAAAGACGGUCUUGCUGUCACUUAUAGAUGGAUCCGAGCUGCAUGAGCUAGUUGGUAAGGUAACGGCUUACCAAGGCAGGGAUGCAUAGCCGACCUGAGAGGGAGAUCGGCCACACUGGAACUGAGACACGGUACAGACACCUACGGUAGGCAGCAGCAGGGAAUCUUACGCGAGGGGGGAGAGCGUGACAGAGCAACGUCGCGGGAGGGAUGAUGGUGCUCGGAUGGGUAAGCGCUGAAAGUAGGGAAGAACAAAUGUGUAAGUAACUGUGCAGAUCUUGACGGUACCGAAACAGAAAGCCACGGCUAACUACGUG